UACCGUGAGGGAAAGUUGAAAAGAACUCUGAAUAGAGAGUUAAAAAGUACGUGAAACUGCUUAGGGGUUAAGCCCGAUGAACCUGAAUAUCUUAUAUGAAAAAUUCAUCAUUAAUAGCAUAUUAUAUUUUAUAUAAUGUGUGAAUAGUGUGCAAUUUUUUCAUAAUAAAGACAUUGUUAUCUGUUAAUAAGCAUAUUAUGUAUAUAAUUUUUAUCAUAAGGUCCGUAGGAUAAUGUUUACUCUUUAUUUAGUAUUUAUAUUAAAUAUGAGUAAAAUCCAAAAUAUCGUAAGAUAUUGCGGUACCGGAUAAAUCAUUAACAGAUUUAUAAAUAUAUGGCGCUUACAUUUUUCGGAAUGUUGUAAUAAAUAUAUAUUCUAUGUAUUAUGUAUUCUAUUAUAUGCGUGUAUAUGAUAAACAAUGCUAUAGAUUUAGGAUACCUUCGGGACCCGUCUUGA
Molecule: ribosomal RNA, 456 nt
Filed under: Hermetia illucens (black soldier fly)
Lineage: Eukaryota; Metazoa; Arthropoda; Insecta; Diptera; Stratiomyidae
Description: eukaryotic LSU rRNA
Source: RNAcentral